GGUGUCUAACGUUGAUCAUAUUCGCUAACGAUUCUGGCACAGAACCUGACAGUUGGUUUUCAUCUAGUUGGAGUCUAUUCAUAUUCGUAAGGUUGCCAAGCUCAUCCGGUAAACUGUAGAACCUGACAGUUGGUUUUCAUCUAGUUGGAGUCUAUUCAUAUUCGUAAGGUUGCCAAGCUCAUCCGGUAAACUGCCAGAUAAUUUAUUUCCAUUCAAGAGCCUGCGUAUAAAACAUCUCAAUUAAAGGCUUAUGCUAUAAGCUGUAAUCAUACAAAAAC
This 278-nucleotide long non-coding RNA is filed under the name Lathyrus oleraceus (garden pea). Its description in RNAcentral is "Pisum sativum (pea) long non-coding RNA (PSAT_LNC010506)". The record is from RNAcentral. Lineage: Eukaryota; Viridiplantae; Streptophyta; Magnoliopsida; Fabales; Fabaceae.